Lolium perenne is the source of this 715-nucleotide long non-coding RNA. RefSeq lists it as uncharacterized. Lineage: Eukaryota; Viridiplantae; Streptophyta; Magnoliopsida; Poales; Poaceae. The record is from RefSeq and is a predicted model, not a curated record.
AACACGUACACCAUGGAAAAAAAUAGCUCUAUUGGAAACAGGCCCAACAAUUGGCCCAGCACGAGAGAAGUCGCCAGCCUCCGUCACGAGAGAAGUCGCCAGCCUCUGUCAACAUCUCGUUCUCCCUGGAGCGUGACCGCCGCCGCCAUCGCGCCAUCCCGUCGGCGUCGUCCUGCGCGGACCGCAACCGCCGCCUCCGUCGACACCCUCGCCAGCCUCCGUCGCGUGACCGCCGCCGCCAUCGCGGUAUCCCAUCGGCGUCGUCCUACGCGGAGCGCAACCGCCGCCUCCGUCGACACCCUCGAGAUCCCGUCAUCCCGCGUGGAGACCGCUGCCGCCAUCGACACCCCGUCCUCCUGCAUCUAGGGCGACCGCCGCCAUCGACUCCACGCCAUCCUGCAUCGUGGGCGGCCGCCGCCACCAGCGGAUCGGCCCGGUCCUGCAUCGCCGACACCAGGUGGUAUGUGAUUUGAAGCAAAAGGUGUUGCUGUGUCGUCUUCCGAAGGUGGCUGUCUUCCCAACGUGUGAUGAUUCUGGUACAUGGAUGUGGCGAUGUUCUGAUAAGGUUUUAGGCUUAGCUCUGAAACACCAAACACAUUUGCUUAUUUGCUUAUUUGGAAUGUCAGUUACAUAUGUGUUCAGUGUCAACUCUUUUCUGUAAUAUGAUACCUAGAAACAAAAAAGGGUUUUUAUCUGAUGCAAUGGUUGUCUGAAA